RNAcentral lists this ribosomal RNA (186 nucleotides) under uncultured bacterium. Its description in RNAcentral is "partial 16S ribosomal RNA". It matches the Rfam family "Bacterial small subunit ribosomal RNA", at positions 521 to 706 of the family's 1533-position model. The record is from RNAcentral.
UAAUACGAAGGGGGCUAGCGUUGCUCGGAAUGACUGGGCGUAAAGGGCGCGUAGGCGGUUUGGACAGUUAGGCGUGAAAUUCCUGGGCUCAACCUGGGGACUGCGCUUAAUACAUCCAGACUUGAGUGUGGAAGAGGGUUGUGGAAUUCCCAGUGUAGAGGUGAAAUUCGUAGAUAUUGGGAAGAA